RNAcentral lists this ribosomal RNA (446 nucleotides) under uncultured bacterium. RNAcentral describes it as "partial 16S ribosomal RNA". It matches the Rfam family "Bacterial small subunit ribosomal RNA", at positions 338 to 795 of the family's 1533-position model. The record is from RNAcentral.
CCUACGGGUGGCAGCAGUCGAGAAUCAUUCACAAUGGGGGAAACCCUGAUGGUGCGACGCCGCGUGGGGGAAUGAAGGUCUUCGGAUUGUAAACCCCUGUCAUGUGGGAGCAAAUUAAAAAGAUAGUACCACAAGAGGAAGAGACGGCUAACUCUGUGCCAGCAGCCGCGGUAAUACAGAGGUCUCAAGCGUUGUUCGGAAUCACUGGGCGUAAAGCGUGCGUAGGCUGUUUCGUAAGUCGUGUGUGAAAGGCGCGGACUCAACCCGCGGACGGCACAUGAUACUGCGAGACUAGAGUAAUGGAGGGGGAACCGGAAUUCUCGGUGGAGCAGUGAAAUGCGUAGAUAUCGAGAGGAACACUCGUGGCGAAGGCGGGUUCCUGGACAUUAACUGACGCUGAGGCACGAAGGCCAGGGGAGCGAAAGGGAUUAGAUACCCCAGUAGUC